GAAAAAAGAAGAACAAUAAAAGAGUUUCAUCAACACUACCGCCGUAUCUGCGUCUCUUCGUCUCUCGUACUCUCUUCAACUCGGGUGCUCCAGUGAUUAAUUGGCGGGCUCCGGGAGCUGAGAAGAGAUGAAUUGAGAGGAGGAGUGGAGUAGAACCGGGGCGCCAAAUGUCAUCCGUCAAAAAAUUCUUUCUUCUUCUCCGCGUCCGUGAAAUGACGACGGUGCGGAAAAUAAGAAGAGAGUAAUUUUUUGCUCUUUUUCUCUCUCAUUCUCACUCUCUAU
Non-coding RNA from Caenorhabditis elegans, 282 nucleotides. Lineage: Eukaryota; Metazoa; Nematoda; Chromadorea; Rhabditida; Rhabditidae. The record is from Ensembl.